RNAcentral lists this ribosomal RNA (513 nucleotides) under uncultured bacterium. Its description in RNAcentral is "bacterial SSU rRNA". It matches the Rfam family "Bacterial small subunit ribosomal RNA", at positions 214 to 724 of the family's 1533-position model. The record is from RNAcentral.
CCGACUGGAUGAGGGGCCUGCGUAGCAUCAGCUAGUUGGUGGGGUAAUGGCCUACCAAGGCGAAGACGCUUAGCUGGUCUGAGAGGAUGAUCAGCCACACUGGGACUGAGACACGGCCCAGACUCCUACGGGAGGCAGCAGUGGGGAAUAUUGGACAAUGGGCGCAAGCCUGAUCCAGCCACGCCGCGUGAGUGAUGAAGGCCUUCGGGUCGUAAAGCUCUGUGGGGAGGGACGAACGGCGCCAUGAAGAGUGGCGAUUGACGGUACCUCCUUAGCAAGCACCGGCUAACUUCGUGCCAGCAGCCGCGGUAAUACGAAGGGUGCAAACGUUGCUCGGAAUCAUUGGGCGUAAAGCGCACGUAGGCGGCUUUCUAAGUCGGAUGUGAAAUCCCUCGGCUUAACCGAGGACGUGCAUCCGAAACUGGGAGGCUUGAGUAUGGAAGAGGGUCGCAGAAUUCCCGGUGUAGAGGUGAAAUUCGUAGAUAUCGGGAGGAAUACCAGUGGCGAAGGCGG